AAGACAGCACACAUGUACAACAUCAGACAAUGCUCCGCUUUGCUGCCUCUAGGCUGUCAUCAGAAGCAAAUGAUUUAUAGAGGCCCGUGUUCAUGUUCACUUGUUGGAGAGCUGAUAAAAUAAGGAAGUGCAGAUACCUGUUCCCCCGAGCGGUGCUCUGUAAGACAUCAGCCUUGAUCUCAUAACUCCAGGAGCCCAGCCCUGUCACACUGAAGAAUGACUCUGGACACGACCAGCCACAGGUGCAGGCUGAGCUCAGAGACCUCGGGGCAGUGGACCACCAAACAUAGCAGUCCCUGUGGGGAAAAUAAUGGACCUUCCUCGUGGUCUGACUGGAAGAAUGGAUUUAAGAUCAACGCUUGGAGGUUUUCACUCCCUGAGCUGAUAUGGAUCAUUUGAACGGGAUUUGUGUUGUAAAUGUAGUCUUGUGUGCUAAGUUGAGGUUCAAAGGAUUAAGUAAUUGGUUUUAAUUUCAUAAAUGGCAGUAUUAGAGCAAAGGAGAAUUUACUUUUUUACAAUUACUUUUUUUCCCACUGUACUCAUUAAAAGGGAUGUCUGGGUUUUAAAGUUAAAAAGAAUAGUAGCCCAUAGUAUAGGAACCACCCUCAUAUCUGUCCUUAAAUGUAAGGCUACAGCCAACAGCUAGUUAGCUUAGCUAAGCACAAAGACUGGAGCUAGUCUGGCUUUGUGACAAGUUUUAUGGAGGGUUAUGCACAAUGAUAUUUCUUGGCAGCAGACAACAAUUCUUCAGGAAGUUACUGCGACCAGCCAAGAAAUAGUCCCUUACAUAUUUACACUUCGUAUUUUUACGAAUUAAACAAACAAGGUAUUACAUGUUAAGUAGUGAGCUUUCGAAGUGGUGGUAGGCAGAUUUUGUAACCUUCGGACAGACCUAGGUUAGCUGUUUCCCCGUGUUUCCAGUCUUAAUGCUAAACUACUGCUGGCCAUAUCCGUAUAUUUACCAGACAAAAAUAAAAGUGGUAUUAAUCUACUCAUGGAACUCUUGGCAGGAAAACGAAAAGGCGUAUUUCCAAAAAUGUCAAACUAUUGCCUCAAACAUAGCCAAUUUCACUUCAUAACUUACACAGGAAUAAAAUUAUGUUCAAGAUGGAACUUUUCUUUCUGUUUAUCCAGUUAAACAAUUUCUUGUCUGAGAAAGUACUUUUUGUUUUUAUUACCUAUGUACAUUUUUCAUGUGUGUGCUGCAUAUGACAACAUAUGUUUGAAAUUUCAGUUCAUUCGACUGAUUUUCAAAAUGUUUCUUGUCUUCAAAGCCUUCCAAGCUUUCAGUAGCCUGAGCUGUUGGCCCUUACAUCUCUGGAAGUCAUAAGCAACCUAAAUUGUAGUUUAUCCAUAUGUCAUAGAGUUUUCAAAACAAAUUGUAAUUCUAGAUAGCAAAGGUAUAAAGUCUGGCUACAUUCGUCAGGCUGCUUUGCGGUGUUGCGGGAACAGGAUGCUUCGGAGGGGCCUUGUUUGGAGUUUGGGUCUUUUGUGAGGAGCUGGUGUUUAGAGCUGUGAGCACGCUUCAGCCCAGGUCACCUCUGCAACAGCUUUUGAUUCUCCGUUUUUGUUCUCCAAUCAGAAACGUGUUUCAGUUUGAGUUUCAUUAAAAGCAUGUCUUGAAAUUGGAUCCAUCUCUUUGUACACCCGCCGAACAGGAACACUGUGCAACCUAACUGGAAGCAGAUCAUCCUACCCUUCAUCAAUGGACUGGGCUACACGUGUAUGUGUGUUUGAGUGUGUGUGUGGUGUGUGGGUGCACAGCUAUGUUGUGUGCAGUGUAUGUUACAUUGUGUAACAUAACUGUGCUUGUGAAACACUAUAGCCUAAAGUGUCACUUUCUCUAUAAAUGGCUUGCAGGGUCUGACAGCAACAUUUAUUCACUGUGAAUGACAUCAUUUACCCUUCAGACAUAUUAAUGAUUAUUUCAUUCUCUCCUGCUGCCAAGGAAACACCUCGCCUGUAACACAGCAGCACACUUAGCAUAGAUUUUCCACAGGAAACAGAGGCUUGAAGUGGCUUUGUUGCCGCCCACAAAGCUAACAAGUGUCAAGUGUCCAACAAACAUCUUUCGAAUUUCAUGCUUUACUUACAGUAGAUGCUAGCGUGCUAUAUCACACAUGCCACAAAGUAUCUCAUCCUUGUCAACUUAAAAAUAGGUUUCACUUUUCUGACCUUACACAAAGAACCCCUCAGAACAAACAAGGUGUUAAAGACUUGGCACAGAAUCUGGGACUCGCAGCAAAUUGCUACCAUUUUGAUCUCCCUUUAUUCUCCACCUAUUGAGAAAACUGAUCCUGUAACGUCGGGGGAGGAAUGUGUCCAGAAUGCAUUCAAUAGCUCAAAGCUGUUGUGUUGAAAUCUCAGUCUCCUUUUUCACAUCAUUACAGGAGCUUCACAAUCAGGCCUCCUGGGAAAGGGAGAGUGAGCAGAGAAAUGUCUAAGCAGCACAUGUAGGGAAGAGCUUCCAGAUGUGACAUGUCAGCAUCAACGACACUCAAUGACGAGGGAGUAAUGGAGCAAGAAGCAGCAGCCACAGUUGGAUGAAGAGCACCUCCAACUCCUCAGCAAGGUAGCCAACUUUACUGUGCCCUGCUGUUGUGAACAGCAUGAAAUCAGAUCACUGUUGCAAUUAUUACUUACCGAUUACAACAUCAUUCUUUUCUUUGGCUGCACUGUAAACAGAUACACCAGUUGCUCUUCUGUUGUAUUUCUGACAAACAGGACUGAAACCUGAAAGGUCGGUGACAGGAGGUCUCCGGGAUGAAAGCUGGACAUGCUACACACCUUCCACCACCCUGACAUUCAGAUCUGGACACAAGGUGCAGAAUCGUCCAUGAUGAACCUAUUUUCUAGGAUUCUGGCCUGUGACAGCAUGUGUCUGGUCAAUGUGUGCAUCUUUGUGUGUUCAUUACUACACAGAUACACUUAAGUGCAGUAUGUGUUUGUGCAUACCAUCACAGGGUCUGUGGGCCAUCUGGAAUGUACUGUACAACCAGAAAGGGGAAACCCAGCUGUGGAAGUUGAAGCUGCUGCUGAAUUCCUAAAGAGAAGAACAUGUCCAGCCAAAUUCUGGCGGUGAUACACCUUCACUGAGGCUCAAAAACAUGUGGAGGGAGGCUGAGUGCUUAAAUACCUUGUCCAACUCAGUCACCAGAUCAGCUUCAUUGGACCAGGCCAUUCUGGCUCAAUGGGCAACAGAGAGUCGAUCAGGCCCACAGUUUCCUGCUGGGCACAAAGUCACUCUCACAAACAUGGAGCCAUAUGUCGGCCAGAUGCUGCUGGCCUCACUCCCCUUCAAAGAAACAAUUAGGCACAAUUAUCGCAACAUAUAAAUGAAUUUUAUCCAUGAUUAAAAUGUUUGGGGUAAGGGGCGAGCAGGACGCAUGGCCAGGUGGUUGUAAUCUCGAUGGCAGUCGCAGCGGGGCUUCGCUGAAAUAGAGCAAAAGAAAGAAAAACCUGCUGAGCUGUUUAUUCAGGCACUUGUACGUCUGGUCAAGUGGUCCCCACCCCCCUUUUCCCUUUCCUCUACAUGUUCACCCCACCAGUGAAGGCAUCUGUCCCUUAAUACCGCUUUAAUGAAGGUCAUUCAUUUUAAUGGAGCCUCAUUUCAAACUCCAGUAAUUAAAGCUUGCGGUGCACUUGUCUGGGAGGUUGUUGAGACAGUGUGAGUGCCAGUUCUCCAAAUAAACAGUCCCCUGCAAGCCAAUGGGCAUCUGAACACCAUAAACCAAACGGGCCAAAUCACGGUCAUGGAAAGAAUAGAAGGCGGCGCAGCUCCGAGGAGAAAUCUAAACCAUGCUAGAGAGAUGAAAACCACAUUUAGUUAAGUGGAAAGAAGGAUGACAGGUGGCUCGACCGUGUUUGGAGGAUAACACAACAAUCACAUGUAAUCGGGUUUGAAAGGCUGAGAACAGAGGAGGAACUGAGUGAGUGAUACAAUGAGAUUCUGAUGUCAAGUGUUUGUCAGACCUCAACUGAAAACUGCUUUGGCUAGGUGAAGGAUCAAACUGCGUCACACUCGAUGCAACUGUGGAAAAGAUGAAGAAAAAGUUCAGAUGAGAGGCAUCACCAUGCAAAGAAAAAAUACAGAAUCUAUCAAGAAAGACUGAUCUAUACUGGGGUGAGAGAUGAAUACACUUACAAUCAUUCUUCUGUCUUCUCUUCACAGAUCAUCAUAGUCUCGGUCGAUCUUAAAGAGAUGCGCCCCUGCAGAGCCAUGCAGCACUCCAGACAGACGUGAGGAUGAUGUGUUUUGAUUCCCAGAUGAAGAGUGUGACGAGGAAAGCUGCUAUAGAUGCUAUUUGUCAGGCUUUCCAGUCCCAGCAGGAUAGCGAGGUGUGUUGUCUACCCAGCAUGCUUUGCCGCUUCCUGGCGUCAGACAGUAUAAUGUUGAUGUACGAUCUGUGAAGAGGAGCCUUGUUUUAUCUCCAGCGUGGUGACAUGGGACGGUUGUUUUAUCUCCCAUGUGGAGGCAUGGGAUGCUCGCCCUGCUCCCUCGGCCUAUCUGGCUGCUGAGGGCCUGAUGAAAGCACAGGGCCACCUUGUCCAGACGGCGCACAUCCAUCAGAGGAGCAACAUGUCAAACGGCGAGGCCAGAGGAGAGUCAUCCACGGGGCGAAGGAAGGGUUUGGGCUUCACAAACACCUCAGCAGUGGCCUGUGACGUUUAUGUAUUUAUGUAUUAGCAGGAAAAUCUAUGAGGUUCUACAAAAAAAGCAGUGAUUAUUAAAUAACAUAGUAGGCAGAACACAGAUAGUUUGGUUCCUCUUUUGUGUAAAUCUCUGACAAAACCUCUUUUUGGUCCCUGAUUCCUCAAACACCUGAAGACACGCAACAGAGAGAUCAUUCAGACAAUAAAAACAUCAUUGCUCAAGCAACAACACCAUUAAAAUAUAUAAAUGCUCACAGCAAGGCCAGAUAAUUCCAGGCACAUGGUGGCGAGACAAUACUUAUAGGCCUGAUAAAUGAAAACAAACGGACACAGAGACGUGAAAACCAUCAGCGCUUUUUCUUGUGUUUCCCCACUCAGACUCACACACCAGCACGCUUUGAUGUGGCUUUUGAGGGCUAAUGAUCGGUCUCACGAGCCAAACGUUUCUAUUUUUUGCAAAGUGACCUCCUAUUUAGCAAAUAAAAACAAAAUGCGACAUCUAUUUGGAGGCAAUUGCCCAAGCAGUCAGAUCAGAACUUGUUUCAAUGGGGCCUUUAUACAUUUCUGCAGUUUAUCCUCCAGGCUUAGUGGCAUUUGAAUCUGCAAACAUAAUUUCUCUCUCUCCCUCUUUCUGUUUUUCCUGAUUGCUUCCACACACUCCAAGCAGCACCAGCUGGAGACUGUAAAAGUAAACUUCAUGUUCAAAAAUGGGUAGAUUAGCCCUUUUAAAUUGGUUUCUUUUCAUGUUUUUUUGCGUCGC
Long non-coding RNA from Thunnus maccoyii (southern bluefin tuna), 5413 nucleotides. RefSeq lists it as uncharacterized. The record is from RefSeq and is a predicted model, not a curated record. The transcript has 4 exons. Lineage: Eukaryota; Metazoa; Chordata; Actinopteri; Scombriformes; Scombridae.